GAGGAAUAUUGGUCAAUGGACGCAAGUCUGAACCAGCCAAGUAGCGUGCAGGAUGACGGCCCUCCGGGUUGUAAACUGCUUUUAGUUGGGAAUAAAAAAAGGGACGUGUCCCUUAUUGUAUGUACCUUCAGAAAAAGGACCGGCUAAUUCCGUGCCAGCAGCCGCGGUAAUACGGAAGGUCCAGGCGUUAUCCGGAUUUAUUGGGUUUAAAGGGAGCGUAGGCGGAUUGUUAAGUCAGCGGUUAAAGGGUGUGGCUCAACCAUACAUUGCCGUUGAAACUGGCGAUCUUGAGUGCAGACAGGGAUGCUGGAACUCGUGGUGUAGCGGUGAAAUGCUUAGAUAUCACGAUGAACUCCGAUCGCGAAGGCAGGUGUCCGGGCUGCAACUGACGCUGAGGCUCGAAAGUGUGGGUAUCAAACAGGAUUAGAUACCCUGGUAGUCCACACAGUAAACGAUGUAUACUCGCGGUUUGCGAUAGACAGUAAGCCGCCAAGCGAAAGCAUUAAGUAUACCACCUGGGGAGUACGCCGGCAACGGUG
RNAcentral lists this ribosomal RNA (539 nucleotides) under uncultured bacterium. RNAcentral's name for it is "bacterial SSU rRNA". It matches the Rfam family "Bacterial small subunit ribosomal RNA", at positions 356 to 896 of the family's 1533-position model. The record is from RNAcentral.